RNAcentral lists this ribosomal RNA (530 nucleotides) under uncultured bacterium. Its description in RNAcentral is "bacterial SSU rRNA". It matches the Rfam family "Bacterial small subunit ribosomal RNA", at positions 56 to 632 of the family's 1533-position model. The record is from RNAcentral.
UGCAGUCGAACGAGACCUUCGGGUCUAGUGGCGCACGGGUGAGUAACGCGUGGAAACCUACCAUUCUGUACGGAAUAACGAUUGGAAACGAUCGCUAAUACCGUAUACGCCCUGUGGGGGAAAGGUCCGCCGCAGAAUGAGGGGUCCGCGUCCGAUUAGCUUGUUGGUGGGGUAAAAGCCUACCAAGGCGAUGAUCGGUAGCUGGUCUGAGAGGAUGAUCAGCCACACUGGGACUGAGACACGGCCCAGACUCCUACGGGAGGCAGCAGUGGGGAAUAUUGGACAAUGGGGGCAACCCUGAUCCAGCAAUGCCGCGUGUGUGAAAGAAAGGCCUUAGGGUUGUAAAGCACUUUCAAUGGUGAAGAUGAUGACGGUAGCCGUAAAANAAGCCCCGGCUAACUUUCGUGCCAGCAGCCGCGGUAAUACGAAGGGGGCGAGCGUUGUUCGGAAUUACUGGGCGUAAAGGGCGCGCAGGCGGCCAAUCCAGUCAGGUGUGAAAGCCCCNGGCUUACCUGGGAACUGCACUGAUA